This 253-nucleotide ribosomal RNA is filed under the name uncultured bacterium. RNAcentral describes it as "partial 16S ribosomal RNA". It matches the Rfam family "Bacterial small subunit ribosomal RNA", at positions 524 to 776 of the family's 1533-position model. The record is from RNAcentral.
UACGUAGGGUGCGAGCGUUCAUCGGAAUUACUGGGCGUAAAGCGUGCGCAGGCGGUUUUGUAAGCCAGAUGUGAAAUCCCCGAGCUUAACUUGGGAACUGCAUUUGGGACUGCAAGGCUAGAGUACGGCAGAGGGGGGUAGAAUUCCUGGUGUAGCAGUGAAAUGCGUAGAUAUCAGGAGGAAUACCGAUGGCGAAGGCAGCCCCCUGGGUCGAUACUGACGCUCAUGCACGAAAGCGUGGGGAGCAAACAGG